AAACCUGCGAAUGGCUCAUUAUAUCAGUUAUAGUUUAUUUGAUGAAGAAUACUAAUUGGAUAACCGUAGUAAUUCUAGAGCUAAUACAUGUAUAAAGUCUUGUAGACUGCAUUUAUUAGAAUGAAAACCAUAGGUUUCGGCCUAUUCGUGAGUAAUAAUAACUAAUCAUAUCGUAUGCUUAAGUAACGAUGUGUCUUUCAAGUUUCUGCCCUAUCAGCUU
This 220-nucleotide ribosomal RNA is filed under the name Blastocystis sp. RNAcentral describes it as "partial small subunit ribosomal RNA". It matches the Rfam family "Eukaryotic small subunit ribosomal RNA", at positions 83 to 321 of the family's 1831-position model. The record is from RNAcentral. Lineage: Eukaryota; Bigyra; Opalinata; Blastocystidae.